AUACGGAGGAUGCAAGCGUUAUCCGGAUUUAUUGGGUUUAAAGGGUGCGUAGGCGGUUUGCUAAACGGGAGGUGAAAUGCCGGCGCUCAACGUCGGAAGUGCCUCCCGAACUGGUGGACUUGAAUGACUCUGCCGUGGGAGGAAUGUGUAGUGUAGCGGUGAAAUGCUUAGAGAUUACACAGAACACCGAUUGUGAAGGCAUCACACGAAGGCUAGAUUGACGCUGAGGCACGAAAGCAUAGGAAUCAAACAGGAUUAGAUUCCCUGGUAGAGCAUGAGGUAAGGGAUUUGAGCUACACGUUGGGUAAUAGUGAAUGAGCGCCCAAGCCAAAACGAUACGUUAUCCGGCUGGGGCGUAAGGUCGUAAGGCGGAAGCUCAAAUGUUGGGCUGGGG
RNAcentral lists this ribosomal RNA (394 nucleotides) under uncultured bacterium. Its description in RNAcentral is "partial 16S ribosomal RNA". It matches the Rfam family "Bacterial small subunit ribosomal RNA", at positions 523 to 918 of the family's 1533-position model. The record is from RNAcentral.